GUGCUUAUCAUGAUCCAAAUCCUGCAAAAGAAAUUCUAGACUAAUUCAGCCUAUAUAUGCAAAGGCAAGGCCAAAUAGAAGAGAAGUUCCAAAAAAAAUUGAAAUUGAAACAGCAAAGCAAACCCAACCAAACGUAAAAAAAUUAAACAAAUAAACAAAUUCCAAAGGCCAACGGCGACAAAUUCUCCAUACAAAUAAAAGGUCAUAGCUUUAAUAUGUGUACAUGAGCCUAUUUAGGCAUAAAGAGAGACUCCAAUCUCUAACUUUGGCUUUAAACAGCAUUUAGAAAUUCUUAAUCCUGACCAAUGAUUCCACUUGUCAAAGUCAAAUUGACUGAAGAGAAAAGACUUGUU
RNAcentral lists this unclassified non-coding RNA (353 nucleotides) under Hevea brasiliensis (rubber tree). Lineage: Eukaryota; Viridiplantae; Streptophyta; Magnoliopsida; Malpighiales; Euphorbiaceae. The record is from RNAcentral.